Molecule: non-coding RNA, 151 nt
Organism: Aminobacter sp.
Lineage: Bacteria; Pseudomonadati; Pseudomonadota; Alphaproteobacteria; Hyphomicrobiales; Phyllobacteriaceae
Source: Rfam
UUCCGGCUGUCCAAAAGCCGGGGUUACUGAAGAGGCACACCUUCAUUGCCGGCAGUGCGGAACGGGUCUUCCCAUUUCCAAGCCAAGGCAGACAAAGCGAACCGAAGCCGGGCUGGCUCAGGUUCACCGCCGCGUGAAGCGCAUUUAUGGA